This 476-nucleotide ribosomal RNA is filed under the name uncultured bacterium. RNAcentral describes it as "bacterial SSU rRNA". It matches the Rfam family "Bacterial small subunit ribosomal RNA", at positions 28 to 517 of the family's 1533-position model. The record is from RNAcentral.
GAUGAACGCUAGCGGCAGGCUUAAUACAUGCAAGUCAAGGGGUAGCAAUACUACCGGCGCACGGGUGAGUAACACGUACAUAACAUACCAUAUACUGGAGCAUAGCCUCGGGAAACUGGGAGUAAUUCUCCAUAGCAUUUUAGAGUGGCAUCACUUUGAAAUUAAAGCUCAGGCGGUAUUAGAUUGGUGUGCGUAUGAUUAGUUUGUUGGUAGGGUAAUGGCCUACCAAGACUACGAUCAUUAGCUGGCGUGAGAGCGCGACCAGCCACACUGGAACUGAGACACGGUCCAGACUCCUACGGGAGGCAGCAGUAGGGAAUAUUGGACAAUGGGCGAAAGCCUGAUCCAGCCAUGCCGCGUGGUAGAUGAAGGCCCUCUGGGUUGUAAAUACCUUUUAUCUGGGAAGAAAUAUCUCGUUCUCGAGAAACUGACGGUACCAGAUGAAUAAGCACCGGCUAACUCCGUGCCAGCAGCCG